GCCAAAGGAGUCAGCAGCUUUUUGACAGCAGAGGAAGGAAAGGCGGGCUUCUGCACAGUGAAUACCACGGCUCAGCCCAAAUGUCAGCAUCGCCACUGUUUUCAAUUAAGACCCGGUACGUUGGGAGAAGAGAGGAGGAACAUCAAGGAGGAAGAUGUUUGGGAACAGCUGGAAGUGGCAGACCUAAUCUUUAUUUAUACCGGCUGUGCAAGCAGCAGGAAUGGUUGGAACGCUGCAGUUGACUGCAGCAACAUUACAGCCAUGACAACAUUUCACAAUUUAUAAAAAAUACCUCGAAACCAACCAGGCUGUACAAUCCUUUAGAAAUGGUUUUAUAGCAAUUUAUAAUACCUCAUGUGUAUUUGCAGGCAAAUGCACGUGGUGUUAAUCCUGCUGAUUGGCUGACUGCUGGUCUUUGGAAAACACUAUUUUGGACUUUGUGCAAGGAUGAAUUGUGCAAACUCUAAACAGAGUUAGGCUCAUUCAAGUGUAUUGUCUUACUAGUGCAGUAUAUUGGUAGUUUGCUGGAUAUCUUGUAAUAAACGUGUCAAAGUGGUCCAAAUCUAGAAGAAUUUGGAGCCGCAUCUGGAUGGCUGCCAUUUCCAGCAGCACCUGAGGCUGAACAGUGGCCAGUUUGAUGACCUGCUCGUUUCAGCUCGGUACCAGGACCUGUCUCCAGGGGAGUCCCGUCGUGAGCAGGACCAUGGGUCAGGGCCAUGUUUGUGUUUCCCUCUCUGAUGUCUUGACUCCACAUUCGGUGACAGACAUGCUACAGUUAAAAGUGGGUGAGCAUCUGCCGAACUGUUCAGUGGAUUGAACUGACUGAAUGAUUAAUGAAAGCUCCGCCACUUGAUUUAAUUUCCUUUUCAACUCUGUUGAGAUGAGUAUAUAUAUCCGAAUUUAGCAGGGUACCUAAUGUCCAGUCAAUCAAAACAAAUGAUUUCUGAAUGCUCCUGUUUCGGUUUUGUCUUAAUCAGGUGUCAGUGGUGUUUCAAGCAAAAGGUGGUUCCUCAGACUUCUGAAGAUUUCCCCAGACUUCUGAAGUCUGAGGAAGGAAAUAAAUCCAUUCACAGGAGUUUUAAUUUUGUGGAUUUUCUCUUCUUCAAAUGUUUGGGGAAGUUUUUUGAUCGCGCGCACAUCAAAAGAUUUUCUACUUCAUGCGGCCUACAGGUGUUUCCUGUCUGUCAAAGCAGCCACCCGGGAAGUUAAGAGAGAGAUCUGCUGCCAAACCACGAGAUCUCCUCGCAACCUCAAAGCUCUCUUCAACGAGGAAACAUCCAAUCAAUGUUUUCCUCCUGUGACACAACUUCCAAAAGCCGUUGUCCUCAAAGCCCAGUGCUGCAGAGCAGGGGUUAUCCUGUCUGUCCCACUUAACUUAAAUGGCCUGUGAAUGGUGGGUGAGUCAGGGCUGGACGCUGUCCCUCUGUGACCGUAGCUCUCGGCGGUGAUGUAGCUUUUCAAAUUUCUCCUCUUCCUGUGACUCUUUUGGAGCUUGUCAGUCGGAUGAAAGGUAUUUCCUCUCAGUCACUCCCCUGUUCCCUUUUGUCAACCGAGAAUCACGCAGGCCAUAAAGACCUCCAGUACACAAUGCAGUUGUCUCCUCCCCCAGCGGCUGUCCAGACUCAAAAUAAGCCUUUUUCUAUAAUUGGACUAUUUCAGAUAAAAUGCACUUUGCGGUUGCAUUAUGUUUACAGUAUGUUGGCCUAGUUUGGUGACAUCCUUUCUAAAGGGUCCUGACGUCUAUGUCAUAGUGACACACACAGCGGCAUCAUUCUGGAGAGUGGCCUCCGUUUCAUCUUGUCCCAUUUUUGAUGGUAAAGUUAAAGUAGAGCACGCAGUGGCCCAAAAUGUUAUUGGUCUAGCCACGAUUUUCAAACAUAGUGACCUCGUUGUUGGACGGAAACACAGACCUCGUGUAUCUGAUUGUGCUCAAAUCUCUCCGGCGAGGACAGCUGCAACAAGACAGACUGAUCCCACAGAAACAUGGCGAACAGAACUUUGUGGUGAGGCAAAGAAGGGAAAGUGUUUAUUAUUAUAAAAAAAUUGUCCAAAUCCACCUUUUAAUCAACUAUCUUCACUGCACAAGUGGAGCUAGUGAUACUAGAUGAAGGUUUAGGGGAUCACUAAGUUAACAUGAUUGGAUUAAUAUGACCGUUUCGAGACCAUUUGAUAAUCUAUACAAGAGUAGCCAAAAAGGUCAAAAUCAUCGUGGCACUCCAGUCAAAGACAGCGGAUUAUCAAAACCAGUGGAAUCCAUCCUCUGGGGACCAUGAAUGCCAAUGAAGAUUUCACUGCAAUUGACAAAUGCAUGUACCAACCGCCCAACCUGAUAUCAGCCCUCUUAGAGCAACACUGCUAGCAUGGCUAAAAGCAUAAAACAGAGUAUAGUUAAUUUAUACUGAUCGGCCACAACAUUCAUUACCAGAAAGUGCUUUUAAUGUUGUGGCUGACCAAUGUGUAUUUAGCUUCAAUGACAUCUGGUUUAUUUUAUUCUCUUGUAUGUGCUCAAACUGUCAAGAUGGAUUUCUCUCUGUAUGAUAGUUGAGCAUUGGUGACAAGUCACAGCUGUUGAAAGAGUAAACUGCUCAUAGUGAUUACAUAUAUAAAUGAAUGAGCGAAUGCACUGUAGCUGCUGGUCAUCUGGACAUGACAGAGAGUUACACAUCUGGGGAAUUAUCAAUGGAAAAAAACUAUUUCUCCUUUAAAGUAUAUAUGUCGUUCCAUCUCUUUUCUUAUUGUCAACCAAGGAGGAGUGGGCGAUAUGACCUGAAAUUCACUGAUCACUAUCAGAAAAUACAGUUCCCACGAUCAUUGUAAGGAAAGAACAAGUCACUCAGUGCUGUAGAGUAUUUAUGUUGUGAAUCAUUUUCAGAAAAGACUGUGUACUGUAUACUUUAGCUAUACAUACAAUACUUGUUUGUAGGAUGCAAUUUUUUGUUGGUUUUAUUAUUUUGUAGGAUUUGUUACGAUAAUAAACAUGGAGAAUAUUAGCUGCCUUAUCCUGUAACCCAGUCUAUACAUUACGUUUUCCAUAUUUGGUUUGUUUCCUUCCCUUGGCUUGAUUCAUGCCUUUAUCUUUGGGAUAUGCAGUAUGUUAGGAAUGCAGAGGAGUUUUACCUCUUCAUGCAUGAGUCAUUAUUCCCUCCUUUCACCAGCCUCUAUUACUCUGAAUUGUCCUGAUGUCAUCGCCUCUUUUGGACACUAAAAAAACAGAAGGCCGCCAUGUCAUGCAUGCCAAUCCACUGUUUAGCUAAGGAAUGUCACAAAUAUGUUGAUGCAGACUUCAGGGUGGGGGCUGAAAUAAUAUCCGACUGGGCAUUAUCACUGGUUAACUACGGCUACGCAGCUGAUGCAUUUCCGCUUUUGACUUUUAGAUGCAUCCAAUGAUCCAUGAUGAUGAUAAUGACUUUCCACAGUUAAUAAAUAUCCUGCUGUUCUCAUCUUCUGGGCUGAAUCCAGAAAUGUUUCAUUUUUAGUGAAAGGACAAACACAAAGUGGAUGAUGGAGUAUUGAUUCCUUUGUCAUGUUGUCUUUCCUACGGUAAAACAACGACCAAAUACUCAGAUUGUGAUCAGUAAAUCUCUUAAUAUUAAAUUUAUGAGAAUAUACGCUCGUCUUUUUCAACUUUUAUUCUAAAAUCCACUUCUUUCAUUUAGAGCCCGCACUUGUCAACGCCAAGAACAAAAUAAAGUCUAUAUCAGGCUGUGCAGGCUCUUAGAAAUGAGAUAACUGCUAAUGAAGGCUCAUGAAGGGUCAGAGAUCCUCGACCCCUUUAUUUCUGGCGUGGUUAUAUAACUGUGAGCAAAGGGGCAACUCAGCGCUGUCAGUCUCUGCAGAUUAGACUCUGCAGCUAUAAUGCAACUCCACUCAGGUCUAUAACCAGACAGGAAGUACAGACAAGAUACUUUAAUUGGCUGAUUUGACUGACAGGCACUGGAGUGAAUCAAUUUCAGAGUAACAUCUGACAAAAUGAAGCUGUAGGUGCUGCCUGCGAGGCCGUGUAAUGUAAGCAGCUGCAUGUCUUUAGACUCAGUGAUGUUCUGCUUACUACACAUAUUAAAACAAAUAUCUAACAGAAAACCUAAGUCUUCAUUUGCCUUCUCACAAUUUGGAUUAACAGUCAUCUGGUUGCCUCUGAUUGUUGCUGCAGACUGAAAUUGCACCCUGUAUUCAAUAUUCAUUAAGUACUAUUAU
Long non-coding RNA from Pleuronectes platessa (European plaice), 4194 nucleotides. RefSeq lists it as uncharacterized. NCBI's taxonomy places the organism in Eukaryota, Metazoa, Chordata, Actinopteri, Pleuronectiformes, Pleuronectidae. The transcript is spliced from 4 exons. The record is from RefSeq and is a predicted model, not a curated record.